Molecule: ribosomal RNA, 458 nt
Filed under: uncultured bacterium
Lineage: Bacteria
Description: partial 16S ribosomal RNA
Rfam family: Bacterial small subunit ribosomal RNA
Source: RNAcentral
CCUACGGGAGGCAGCAGUGGGGAAUAUUGCACAAUGGGGGAAACCCUGAUGCAGCGACGCCGCGUGAGGGAAGAAGUAAUUCGUUACGUAAAGCUCUAUCAGCAGGGAAGAAACACUUACCUUACGUUCAGCAGACGGUACCUGAGUAAGAAGCCCCGGCUAACUACGUGCCAGCAGCCGCGGUAAUACGUAGGGGGCAAGCGUUAUCCGGGUUUACUGGGUGUAAAGGGAGCGUAGACGGUGCGGCAAGUCUGGAGUGAAAUGCCGCAGCUUAACUGCGGGACUGCUUUGGAAACUGGCGAACUAGAGUGCGGGAGGGGUAAGCGGAAUUCGUGGUGUAGCGGUGAAAUGCGUAGAUAUUAGGAGGAACACCGGUGGCGAAGGCGGCUUACUGGACCGUAACUGACGUUGAGGCUCGAAAGCGUGGGGAGCAAACAGGAUUAGAUACCCCUGUAGUC